GACGAACGCUGGCGGCGUGCCUAAUACAUGCAAGUUGAGCGCUGAAGGUUGGUACUUGUACCUACUGGAUGAGCAGCGAACGGGUGAGUAACGCGUGGGGAAUCUGCCUUUGAGCGGGGGACAACAUUUGGAAACGAAUGCUAAUACCGCAUAAUAACUUUAAACACAAGUUUUAAGUUUGAAAGAUGCAAUUGCAUCACUCAAUGAUGAUCCCCCGUUGUAUUAGCUAGUUUGUGAGGUAAAGGCUCACCAAAGCGAAGAUACAUAACCGAGCCGAGAGGGGGAGAGGCCACAUUGGGACAGAGACACGGGGCAAACUCCCACAGGAGGGAGAAGAAGGGAAAAUUCGGCAAUGGAGGAAAGUGUGAGCGAGAAACGCGGCGUGAGAGAAGAAGGUGUUCGGAUCGUAAAAAUCUGUUGGUAGAGAAGAAAGUAGGUGAGAGUGGAAAGAUCAUCAAGUGAAGGUAACUAACCAGAAAGGGACGGCUAACUACGUG
This 497-nucleotide ribosomal RNA is filed under the name uncultured bacterium. RNAcentral's name for it is "partial 16S ribosomal RNA". It matches the Rfam family "Bacterial small subunit ribosomal RNA", at positions 28 to 507 of the family's 1533-position model. The record is from RNAcentral.